AGGGUUGUGGCUCAGCGGUAGAGCUCUUGCCUAGCAGGAGGUACUGGGUUUGAUCCCCAGCAUCACAU
This 68-nucleotide transfer RNA is filed under the name Marmota monax (woodchuck). It matches the Rfam family "tRNA". From Rfam's summary of the family: Transfer RNA (tRNA) molecules are approximately 80 nucleotides in length. Their secondary structure includes four short double-helical elements and three loops (D, anti-codon, and T loops). The record is from Rfam by way of RNAcentral. Lineage: Eukaryota; Metazoa; Chordata; Mammalia; Rodentia; Sciuridae.